AUACGGAGGAUCCGAGCGUUAUCCGGAUUUAUUGGGUUUAAAGGGAGCGUAGGUGGGAUAUUAAGUCAGCUGUGAAAGUUUGGGGCUCAACCUUAAAAUUGCAGUUGAUACUGGUUUCCUUGAGUACGGUACAGGUGGGCGGAAUUCGUGGUGUAGCGGUGAAAUGCUUAGAUAUCACGAAGAACUCCGAUCGCGAAGGCAGCUCACCGGGCCGGAACUGACACUGAUGCUCGAAAGUGCGGGUAUCAAACAGGAUUAGAUACCCUGGUAGUCCGCACAGUAAACGAUGAAUACUCGCUGUUUGCGAUACACUGUAAGCGGCCAAGCGAAAGCGUUAAGUAUUCCACCUGGGGAGUACGCCGGCAACGGUGAAACUCAAAGGAAUUGACGGG
Molecule: ribosomal RNA, 392 nt
Filed under: uncultured bacterium
Lineage: Bacteria
Description: partial 16S ribosomal RNA
Rfam family: Bacterial small subunit ribosomal RNA
Source: RNAcentral